Molecule: ribosomal RNA, 726 nt
Filed under: Inocybe geophylla
Lineage: Eukaryota; Fungi; Basidiomycota; Agaricomycetes; Agaricales; Inocybaceae
Description: 16S ribosomal RNA
Rfam family: Bacterial small subunit ribosomal RNA
Source: RNAcentral
AGCCAAACUGAAAUCACAAAAUCACAAAAUGUGCUUAUUGUGAUAACGUAAGGGAAAAAAAUGAUAUUACCUUACUAUAAGUGUUGUCUAAAUAACUGGUGCCAGAAGACUCGGUAACACCAGAAACGCGAACGUUAGUCGUCUUAAACAGGCGUAAAGGGUAAGUAGGCAGCUUUAAAGUCUAUUUUUAAAUAAGCUAGUUAAUAAUAUUUCUCCCACCGCCUCGCUUUGCGAGGCUUAUAGGUAGUCCCCCUCCCCUAAUUCUUUAAUUUUAACUAAAUAAAGAUAAAAAGGGAGGGAGUUAGACCCUGUCUAUAAAUUUUAUAGAUUUUCAGACCUUAAAUUUAAGGCUAAAUUAAAAUGAAAAUAGGGAUUAUUAUUAGAUCCGCAUAACUUAUAAUAAUUAAUUAUUAAUAGGACAAAAUAGAUACACUUAAAGCUAGAAUCUUAAUUGAGAUAAACCAAAUAAUGCUUAUGUGUAAGGGCGAUAUCUGAAAAUACUAAGUAGAAUACUAACGGUGAAAACUUUUUAUCUGAUAAUGAUUGACGCUGAGGUACGAAAGUGAGAACAGGGAAUAGGAUUAGAUACCCAGUUACCUCUCACCGUCAACGAUGAAUGGUAGUUGUUAAUUUAAUUUAAUUAGUGACGAUGUUAACGCGAUACCAUUCCGCCUUGAGAGUACGGUUGCAAAACUGAAACCAAAAAAAUUAGUCGGUCUCGGAGCA